GGUUAAGCGAAUAAGCGUACACGGUGGAUGCCUAGGCAAUCAGAGGCGAUGAAGGACGUGCUAAUCUGCGAAAAGCGUCGGUAAGGUGAUAUGAACCGUUACACCCGACGAUAUCCGAAUGGGGAAACCCAGUAUCCAAUGGAUACUAUCAUUAACUGAAUCCAUAGGUUAAUGAGGCGAACCGGGAGAACUGAAACAUCUCAGUACCCCGAGGAAAAGAAAUCAACCGAGAUUCCCCUAGUAGCGGCGAGCGAACGGGGAGCAGCCCAGAGUCUUAAUCAAUAGCAGUGUCAGGAGAACGGUCUGGAAAGUCCGGCAGUAAAGGGUGAUAGCCCCGUAUCUGAAGAUGCUGUUAUUGUGAACUCGACGAGUAGGGCGGGACACGUGUUAUCCUGUCUGAAUAUGGGGGGACCAUCCUCCAAGGCUAAAUACUCCUGAUUGACCGAUAGUGAACCAGUACCGUGAGGGAAAGGCGAAAAGAACCCCGGCGAGGGGAGUGAAAAAGAACCUGAAACCGUGUACGUACAAGCAGUAGGAGCCUCUUUAUGGGGUGACUGCGUACCUUUUGUAUAAUGGGUCAGCGACUUAUAUUCUGUAGCAAGGUUAACCGCAUAGGGGAGCCGUAGGGAAACCGAGUCUUAACUGGGCGAAUGAGUUGCAGGGUAUAGACCCGAAACCCGGUGAUCUAUCCAUGGGCAGGUUGAAGGUUGGGUAACACUAACUGGAGGACCGAACCGACUAAUGUUGAAAAAUUAGCGGAUGACUUGUGGAUGGGGGUGAAAGGCCAAUCAAACCGGGAGAUAGCUGGUUCUCCCCGAAAGCUAUUUAGGUAGCGCCUCGUGAACUCAUCUUCGGGGGUAGAGCACUGUUUCGACUAGGGGGUCAUCCCGACUUACCAACUCGAUGCAAACUGCGAAUACCGAAGAAUGUUAUCACGGGAGACACACGGCGGGUGCUAACGUCCGUCGUGAAGAGGGAAACAACCCAGACCGCCAGCUAAGGUCCCAAAGUCAUGGUUAAGUGGGAAACGAAGUGGGAAGGCUCAGACAGCCAGGAUGUUGGCUUAGAAGCAGCCAUCAUUUAAAGAAAGCGUAAUAGCUCACUGGUCGAGUCGGCCCGCGCGGAAGAUGUAACGGGGCUAAACCAUGCACCGAAGCUGCGGCAGCGACACAAAGUGUUGUUGGGUAGGGGAGCGUUCUGUAAGCCUGCGAAGGUGUACUGUGAGGUAUGCUGGAGGUAUCAGAAGUGCGAAUGCUGACAUAAGUAACGAUAAUGCGGGUGAAAAACCCGCACGCCGGAAGACCAAGGGUUCCUGUCCAACGUUAAUCGGGGCAGGGUGAGUCGACCCCUAAGGCGAGGCUGAAAAGCGUAGUCGAUGGGAAACGGGUUAAUAUUCCCGUACUGGUGGUAACUGCGAUGGGGGAACGGAGAAGGCUAGGUUGUCCGGGCGACGGUCGUCCCGGUUCAAGCAGGUAGGCAGAGUGAUUAGGCAAAUCCGGUCACUUAAUGCUGAGAUGUGAUGACGAACCACCAAGGUGGUGAAGCAAUUGAUGCCCCGCUUCCAGGAAAAGCCUCUAAGCUUCAGGUUACCAACAAUCGUACCCCAAACCGACACAGGUGGUCAGGUAGAGAAUACUCAGGCGCUUGAGAGAACUCGGGUGAAGGAACUAGGCAAAAUGGUGCCGUAACUUCGGGAGAAGGCACGCUGGCGGUAGGUAAAGUCCCUUGCGGACGGCGCCCAAGCCAGUCGAAGAUACCAGCUGGCUGCAACUGUUUAUUAAAAACACAGCACUGUGCAAACACGAAAGUGGACGUAUACGGUGUGACGCCUGCCCGGUGCUGGAAGGUUAAUUGAUGGGGUUAGCGCAAGCGAAGCUCCUGAUCGAAGCCCCAGUAAACGGCGGCCGUAACUAUAACGGUCCUAAGGUAGCGAAAUUCCUUGUCGGGUAAGUUCCGACCUGCACGAAUGGCGUAAUGAUGGCCAGGCUGUCUCCACCCGAGACUCAGUGAAAUUGAACUCGCUGUGAAGAUGCAGUGUACCCGCGGCAAGACGGAAAGACCCCGUGAACCUUUACUAUAGCUUGACACUGAACAUUGAGCCUUGAUGUGUAGGAUAGGUGGGAGGCUUUGAAGUGUGGACGCCAGUCUGCAUGGAGCCAACCUUGAAAUACCACCCUUUAACGUUUGAUGUUCUAACCUAGGCCCAUAAACUGGGUCGGGGACCGUGUCUGGUGGGUAGUUUGACUGGGGCGGUCUCCUCCUAAAGAGUAACGGAGGAGCACGAAGGUUGGCUAAGCAUGGUCGGACAUCAUGCGGUUAGUGCAAAGGCAUAAGCCAGCUUGACUGCGAGAGUGACGGCUCGAGCAGGUACGAAAGUAGGUCUUAGUGAUCCGGUGGUUCUGAAUGGAAGGGCCAUCGCUCAACGGAUAAAAGGUACUCCGGGGAUAACAGGCUGAUACCGCCCAAGAGUUCAUAUCGACGGCGGUGUUUGGCACCUCGAUGUCGGCUCAUCACAUCCUGGGGCUGAAGUAGGUCCCAAGGGUAUGGCUGUUCGCCAUUUAAAGUGGUACGCGAGCUGGGUUUAGAACGUCGUGAGACAGUUCGGUCCCUAUCUGCCGUGGGCGUUGGAAGAUUGAGAGGGGUUGCUCCUAGUACGAGAGGACCGGAGUGAACGCACCACUGGUGUUCGGGUUGUCAUGCCAAUGGCAUUGCCCGGUAGCUAAGUGCGGAAGAGAUAACCGCUGAAAGCAUCUAAGCGGGAAACUUGCCUCGAGAUGAGUCUUCCCUGUCGCUUUAAGCGACCUAAAGGAACGUUUAAGACUAAGACGUUGAUAGGCUGGGUGUGUAAGCGUAGUGAUACGUUGAGCUAACCAGUACUAAUGAACCGUGAGGCUUAACCUG
RNAcentral lists this ribosomal RNA (2901 nucleotides) under Proteus mirabilis. RNAcentral's name for it is "23S ribosomal RNA". It matches the Rfam family "Bacterial large subunit ribosomal RNA". The record is from RNAcentral. Lineage: Bacteria; Pseudomonadati; Pseudomonadota; Gammaproteobacteria; Enterobacterales; Morganellaceae.